This 232-nucleotide long non-coding RNA is filed under the name Chrysemys picta bellii (western painted turtle). RNAcentral's name for it is "lncRNA (ENSCPBG00000020086.1)". The record is from RNAcentral. Lineage: Eukaryota; Metazoa; Chordata; Testudines; Emydidae.
GCGGCGAAUAAAGGGGGGGUAGUUUUAUUUAUAAAUACAGAACUACAAUAAUUAGCAUUUCACAUAUUGAAGCACUGCACAGAAAAUGAACAAUUAAUUCUCAUCAAUGCCCUAAGAUAUAGGUCUGAAUGUUUUCCACACAAAAAACAUGGAUUGCUGUGGGGGCACAAAGAAGUUGUCGGCAGGGAAAGGAAGGCAAAAAGAAUCCUGUUAAUUCAUCCACCAAUGACAC